This 537-nucleotide ribosomal RNA is filed under the name Debaryomyces sp. Z8Y25. RNAcentral describes it as "eukaryotic LSU rRNA". It matches the Rfam family "Eukaryotic large subunit ribosomal RNA", at positions 113 to 666 of the family's 3401-position model. Lineage: Eukaryota; Fungi; Ascomycota; Pichiomycetes; Serinales; Debaryomycetaceae. The record is from RNAcentral.
AUUUGAAAUCUGGCACCUUCGGUGUCCGAGUUGUAAUUUGAAGAAGGUAACUUUGGAGUUGGCUCUUGUCUAUGUUCCUUGGAACAGGACGUCACAGAGGGUGAGAAUCCCGUGCGAUGAGAUGCCCAAUUCUAUGUAAAGUGCUUUCGAAGAGUCGAGUUGUUUGGGAAUGCAGCUCUAAGUGGGUGGUAAAUUCCAUCUAAAGCUAAAUAUUGGCGAGAGACCGAUAGCGAACAAGUACAGUGAUGGAAAGAUGAAAAGAACUUUGAAAAGAGAGUGAAAAAGUACGUGAAAUUGUUGAAAGGGAAGGGCUUGAGAUCAGACUUGGUAUUUUGCGAUCCUUUCCUUCUUGGUUGGGUUCCUCGCAGCUUACUGGGCCAGCAUCGGUUUGGAUGGUAGGAUAAUGACUAAGGAAUGUGGCUCUACUUCGGUGGAGUGUUAUAGCCUUGGUUGAUACUGCCUGUCUAGACCGAGGACUGCGUCUUUGACUAGGAUGUUGGCAUAAUGAUCUUAAGCCACCCGUCUUGAAACACGGAC